RNAcentral lists this unclassified non-coding RNA (350 nucleotides) under uncultured fungus. RNAcentral describes it as "partial contains small subunit ribosomal RNA, internal transcribed spacer 1, and 5.8S ribosomal RNA". The stretch from base 1 to 73 matches the Rfam family "Eukaryotic small subunit ribosomal RNA", at positions 1759 to 1831 of the family's 1831-position model. The record is from RNAcentral. Lineage: Eukaryota; Fungi.
GCAAACUUGGUCAUUUAGAGGAAGUAAAAGUCGUAACAAGGUUUCCGUAGGUGAACCUGCGGAAGGAUCAUUAUAGAGAUAAACUUGGCUAGGCUGUUGCUGACUCUAUUAGAGUAUGUGCACACCUAAUACCAAUUUAUUUUACCACCUGUGCACAUUUGUAGACUUGGAUAUUUAAAAGGGGAUGCAUGAUUUUAACAAACCCAGCUCUCCUUCUGUAUUCCUUGUCUAUGAUUUUGUAUACUCCAAAAUAAUGUAUUUGAAUGGUUAUAAUAGGCGAAAAGCCAUUUAAAUUUAAUAUAACUUUCAACAACGGAUCUCUUGGCUCUCGCAUCGAUGAAGAACGCAGC